RNAcentral lists this ribosomal RNA (441 nucleotides) under uncultured bacterium. Its description in RNAcentral is "bacterial SSU rRNA". It matches the Rfam family "Bacterial small subunit ribosomal RNA", at positions 955 to 1395 of the family's 1533-position model. The record is from RNAcentral.
AUUAACGCGAAGAACCUUACCUACCCUUGACAUGCCAGGAACGCUGCAGAAAUGCAGCGGUGCCCGAAAGGGAACCUGGACACAGGUGCUGCAUGGCUGUCGUCAGCUCGUGUCGUGAGAUGUUGGGUUAAGUCCCGCAACGAGCGCAACCCUUGCCAUUAGUUGCUACAUUCAGUUGGGCACUCUAAUGGGACUGCCGGUGACAAACCGGAGGAAGGUGGGGAUGACGUCAAGUCCUCAUGGCCCUUAUGGGUAGGACUUCACACGUGCUACAUUGGCCGAUACAAAGGGUUGCAAACCCGUGAGGGGGAGCGAAUCCCAAAAAGUCGGUCCCGGUUCGGAUUGGAGGCUGAAACUCGCCUCCAUGAAGGCGGAGUUGCUAGUAAUCGCGGAUCAGCAAUGCCGCGGUGAAUACGUUCCCGGGCCUUGUACACACCGAAU